This 1512-nucleotide long non-coding RNA is filed under the name Nannospalax galili (Upper Galilee mountains blind mole rat). RNAcentral's name for it is "lncRNA (ENSNGAG00000024636.1)". Lineage: Eukaryota; Metazoa; Chordata; Mammalia; Rodentia; Spalacidae. The record is from RNAcentral.
GACUGUUUUAUGCAGUGCUGAGGAUGGAACCCAGGGCUUUGUGCAUGCUAAGCAAGCUCUCCAACCACUGAGCCACAUCCCCAGUUCUAACGCUCCCUUACCUUGCUGUCUGACAACGUGAUUUUCCCUGUUGGAGCAGCGAUGCAUCAGGCCACUAAUCCAGCCCAGUGUUUAGUUUACAGGCUGGUGACUUACAUCUUUGUCUACGAGAACCCAGUCUCCCUGCUCUGUGGUGCCAUCAUCAUCUGGCGAUUUGCUGGUGUCACUUCAGUCCGAUCUCGAAUGAAGCGGGCCCUCGUGUUUGGGGUGGUGGUACCCUCGGUCCUUGUGCCCUGGCUCCUGCUGGGUGCCUCCUGGCUUAUUCCUCAGACUUCUUUCCUGAGUAAUGUCUCCGGCCUUUUGAUUGGACUGGCCUGUAUCCUUCUUGGGAGGGAUUGUGGGACAAAGCCCCUACCUAGAGGGACUGGAAUGUCAAGUACAGUCUUGGGCUUCCCUGCAAGCAACUUGGUUCUGCAGCUGGGAAAACUAUGGAGCCUUAGGCAGUUCCCCUCUCCCCUCUCUAGACCAGAACUUACCUGGAAAAUUCCAACAUGGCUGCCUUCCCAGGCCAGCUCAGCACAACCAGUUAACAGUUUGAGGGUUAAUCAUACUGACUUGAUUUUUUUUUCCCCCUGUAAACUAAGAUUAUAAUUUACUUAACUAAUUAUAGUAAGAGUUUUCAUUAGCAUAGGGAUAGGGAGAUGGCUGGGUCAGUAAAGUACUUGUCACAAGUAUGAGAACUCCAGCUAGAGCCUCAGAACUCACAUAAUAAAAGGCUGGGCAGAGUAGUACACAUCUCUAAGCCCAAGCUGGGGAGGUGGAGACAGGUGGAUCCCUAGGCCUCACUGGACAGUUAACUUAGAGUACUUGGGGGAGUUCCAGGCCAUUGAGAGACCAUGCCUCAAAAGUCAAGGUGGAUAACACCUAGGUUGACCUCUGGCCUCCAUAUUCACCUGCACACGUAAGUGUACACAUAAAACCAUACACAGUAUUCAUAGUAGUCUGAGACCCCAUUAGCUGGAAAUGGUGAAGGAAACAUCUGGGGGUUUGUUUUUCACAGCUAGAGGAUCAAACCCAGGACCUUGUACAUGAUCAGCAGGUACUCCACCACCCAGCUACAUCCUAGGUCUUAGUUUUACUUUCUCGAAGGGAAAGGGGUUGAGACAGGGUCUUGCUGUAUAGCCCAGAUUGACCUCACACUCAUGACCCUGCUGCCUCAGUCUCCUGAAUGCUGGGAUCACAGAUGUGCUCCAGUGCACCCCAAUUACAUAUCCCUAUGUGACACUUACUAUAGAUUAAGCAUCCCUAGUCAGGAAUUAUGAGGUCUGGAAUGCCCCCACAUCUAGAACAUUUGAAUGUUCUCCUGACACAAGUAGAUCAUUCACACCUGACCUGACAUGUUGGAUCAUAGUAGAGCAUGGAUGCCCUGAAAAUACUGUGUAAAAUGAUCUCAGUCUGCAAGGUGCAGGAGAA